GGCAGCCUGGAUCUGAAUCCUCAUCCCACUUCUUACUAGCUGGGUCAUCUUGGCUACUGGGAGAAUGAACAUAUAAUAAAGAGGGAAAUUGAUAUAGAAGAGCUGGUAGACCUGUACAACCGUGCUCAGUAUUUAGGCUUGUGAGUGAGAAACACCGAGGCCCGCACGAUCCCUUCAAUGAAUUCUCAUCGCCUAAGAAGGAGAAACAGACCGUCUAUGGCAAGUGAGAAAAGGCCCUUGCAAGGUUUUUUGAUGUGAAACCUGGAUUCAGAAUUAAGCGCCACUGAACAGAGAUGGACACAGAAUAGCCGGUUUUGUUCACUGCUAGAUCUCCAGUCCUUAGAGCAGGCUUGGCAUGUGGAAAGUGCUCAAAAAUGACUCGUAGAGAGAACGGAAGAGCGACAGGAGUGUUGUGGAGAGGGCAGCAGGGGAGAGCAAGUGGUCAUCACACCUGAGGAAGAACUGGAUCACGAGCCCCGAUGCCAACAGCACCAACACGGAAGUUUAUUCUAGAAGUUGCGAAGAGUCGGGGCUGAGCACCACUGAAAGUCACCCCCCAGAGCAGGGGAGUGGACUCACGGCCCGCACAGAAGCCCACUGGGCGCCCGGCCACCCCCCUGCCUGGCACCCGUUCCUGCUCGCAGAUGGCCUGUAGGCAUUUCUAACAAACACUCUAAUCAGCGUCUGUAAAUCUGAGCCCAACCUUCUCACGUAUAAAAUGGAAGU
This is a long non-coding RNA of Eubalaena glacialis (North Atlantic right whale), 726 nucleotides long. RefSeq lists it as uncharacterized. The record is from RefSeq and is a predicted model, not a curated record. NCBI's taxonomy places the organism in Eukaryota, Metazoa, Chordata, Mammalia, Artiodactyla, Balaenidae. The transcript is spliced from 3 exons.